RNAcentral lists this ribosomal RNA (492 nucleotides) under uncultured bacterium. RNAcentral's name for it is "partial 16S ribosomal RNA". It matches the Rfam family "Bacterial small subunit ribosomal RNA", at positions 29 to 507 of the family's 1533-position model. The record is from RNAcentral.
AGUGAACGCUGGCGGUAGGCCUAACACAUGCCAGUCGAACGGAAGCACAGUAAGAGCUUGCUCUUAUGGGUGGCGAGUGGCGGACGGGUGAGGAAUAUAUCGGAAUCUACUUUUUCGUGGGGGUUAACGUAGGGAAACUUACGCUCAUAUCGCAUACGACCUACGGGUGAAAGCAGGGGAACUUUGCACCUUGUGCGAUUGAAUGAGCCGAUGUGGGAUUGGCUGGUUGGGGGGGUAAAGGCCCACCAAGGGGACGAGCCGUAGCUGGUCUGAGAGGAUGAUCGACCACACGGGAAGUGGAACACGGUCCAGACGCCUAAGGGAGGGAGCAGUGGGGAAUAUGGGACAAUAGGGGCAAGCCUGGUCCAGCCGGACCGCGUGGGAGGAGAAGGCCUUCGGGGUGUAAAGCCCUUUUGUUGGGAAAAAAAAGCAUCAGGUUAAGACCCCGCUGUUCUGACGGUACCCAAAGAAUAAGCACCGGCUAACUUCGUG